UACGUAGGGGGCAAGCGUUGUCCGGAAUCAUUGGGCGUAAAGAGCGUGUAGGCGGCUUGAUAAGUCCGCUGUGAAAGUCCAGGGCUCAACCCUGGAAUGCCGGUGGAAACUGCAAGCUUGAGUCCGGAAGAGGCGAGUGGAAUUCCUGGUGUAGCGGUGAAAUGCGCAGAUAUCAGGAGGAACACCAAUGGCGAAGGCAGCUCGCUGGGACGGUACUGACGCUGAGACGCGAAAGCGUGGGGAGCAAACAGG
RNAcentral lists this ribosomal RNA (252 nucleotides) under uncultured bacterium. RNAcentral describes it as "partial 16S ribosomal RNA". It matches the Rfam family "Bacterial small subunit ribosomal RNA", at positions 524 to 776 of the family's 1533-position model. The record is from RNAcentral.